Molecule: long non-coding RNA, 422 nt
Organism: Osmia bicornis bicornis
Lineage: Eukaryota; Metazoa; Arthropoda; Insecta; Hymenoptera; Megachilidae
Exons: 3
Source: RefSeq, a predicted model, not a curated record
UGCGCAACCCGUUCUUUUCCUACUUUGCCGACUUUCUUUAUCACGACCUACAACACGGCUUCAGGAAACAAACCAAACAGGUACCUGCCGCCGGAAGGAGCCGAACUCGAGGUGUCACGGUCCGUAAGGGCCGUGAGAGUGCAGGACGAUAGGUGGAUCCUUUCUGGACACAGCAGAGCAGAGCAGGGCAGGCGAGGCCAGGGAGCAAUGUCCCUUCGAGUCAUCCCCUUCCUAACGUAUACGUAAGAUUUAGAAAGAAGUUAUUGGAGGAUGUUAGAAGCAGACUAAAAAUACACUGUAACCCGUCACCCUUGACCAUGUGAUUAGCAACGCUCCACCUUCGACGUUAAGAAGGUAAAGUGUAUGUAAAUUGUAAUGCAAAUUCACAUAUGGCAGUCUCAACAUAAAUAAGCAGGCAAACA